Pistacia vera is the source of this 1481-nucleotide long non-coding RNA. RefSeq lists it as uncharacterized. Lineage: Eukaryota; Viridiplantae; Streptophyta; Magnoliopsida; Sapindales; Anacardiaceae. The transcript has 10 exons. The record is from RefSeq and is a predicted model, not a curated record.
UUUCAGAGGCAAAUAUUUUUUUUGUCCAACUUGCUUACAAGAGAGAGCGCAGCAAUGUGAGCAACUGGAGAAAAGAAGGGGAUUUUCAAGAUCCUUUUUCAUUGCUGCUCCUUGAAGCAAAUUCAGCAUUAUGACAUUGAAUAUAUCUCAAUUUGCCGGAAAUUCACAAUGAAAUCCUUUGAUGGCUCUUUGAGUGAAGCAACUUUAACAUGAUAUCAUUAAGUGUUUCUUGAAGAAUCAAGGUCAUAAAAUGUACUUGAUGAAACAAGCGUGCUCAAUGGUUUCCACGUUUCCUUGGUAUAGAUUCAUUUCUAAGGCACAUAAAUUUACUUGUUCAAGUAUUGGCUUUAAUGCUUUGUGGCUUUCUUGAGAGAGUGGCUGGAUUCCACCAUCUAUCGAAGAGAAGAUUUUCAAUAACAUUCUUCACUUGCCUUUCUGAGUUUUGAAGGAUGGGAGAAGGAAAAGAAGAAUUACAAUCAGGACAUAUCUUCAUUCCUUAUAACAAGAUGCUGCCUCGAGUUAAAGACAAUACUGUCAGGGUGCCUUCUCCAUAGGACAACUCUGAAACAAUGCAGACUCAUUUCAGCAGCACAUAGAUUAAGUUGUUGAAGUGCUAUAAUGUUUUGUGGUCUACAAGAGAUAGAAGAUCAAAAUGUGACCAGCCAAAGAAGAUAAAAAGAUUUGAAGUCAUUUUAUGCAAUUUAACAUAUAUUGAGGUCUAGUUUAGUUCUCUGUAAGCUCUCCGUUUUACCUAAUUUUUCUCUGGAUUAUGUACUUGGAAAAUCUGGCAGUCUUCUCAAAAUAACAACCUGGAUUUUCAGACCAGUCAAAAGCAGUUACAACAGCGAACCUGAAGCUUCAUAAUGUCCAUAAUUGAGUUUUGAUGAAGUGAACCAAGGUUUAUAUGUCAUUAAAUAUUUCUCGAAGAAUGAAGACCAUAAGACCAUGUAUGACAGGAGCUUGGCAUUUUGAGAGCUCUUAUCAUGCUGGGCAAGACUGACAGAGGCUAUUCACCUUGAAAUAUACAACAUAACCUCUGUACUUACUUCUUUAAGUGUAGUUUCAUGCACAAGAGCUGAGGAAAAGAUGAUUAGGCUUCUUACAGAAGAAGUCCCAAAUACACGAACAUGGUUACGACAGUCCCAGCACUGAUAGCCAUUAGAACCUUAAUUAUCCAUCCUGAUCCUGAAAAAUGUGGAAUGUUUUCCCAUGUCGCGGCAACGGAAGAAGUAGCCACGAAUGACGCAGCCACUCACAUGACCUUGGAUGGAAGCUCAAGUAAAUCCUCUGUUCACAUUGGUUCCAUGAUUGAUGUAGGCAAGAAACCAAAACAUUUGUUGACAUGCUUGUGUCGAGGCCAGGCACAACUUCUGCCUGCUGGCAAAGUUGGAAGUCUAAGGGCAGUUCACACUGUUGCCCAUAUCAAUCCUUUGGAGUUUUGAAGUAUCAGCUAUUGAGAAUGUAUUUCUGAGACCACUGGU